RNAcentral lists this small RNA (130 nucleotides) under Marmota monax (woodchuck). The record is from RNAcentral. Lineage: Eukaryota; Metazoa; Chordata; Mammalia; Rodentia; Sciuridae.
GCUGGGCAUGGUGGUGCACACCUGUAAUCCCAGCAACUCGGGAGGCUGGAGCAGGAGGAUCAUGAGUUCAGGACCAACUCAGCAACUUCACAAGGAAGGCCCUGAGCAACUUAAUGAGGCCCUGUCUCAA